GACCUGCUGAGCCAUUCUGUACUCUCUUGAGGUGCCCUGACAUCACACCUGGUAAAGGGAAAGAAUCAAGUACUUGUCUUCUCAUUCUUUUAGGAACUCUGCCACUGAUCAACCAGCACUGAACUCUGGACAGCUCCUGAGCAUGGCCUCAUGAGCAAAAGUGAGUGAGAAUCCCAGAGAC
This 181-nucleotide long non-coding RNA is filed under the name Chinchilla lanigera (long-tailed chinchilla). Its description in RNAcentral is "lncRNA (ENSCLAG00000024619.1)". The record is from RNAcentral. Lineage: Eukaryota; Metazoa; Chordata; Mammalia; Rodentia; Chinchillidae.